This is a non-coding RNA of Acanthosepion pharaonis, 114 nucleotides long. NCBI's taxonomy places the organism in Eukaryota, Metazoa, Mollusca, Cephalopoda, Sepiida, Sepiidae. The record is from the annotation of a GenBank genome assembly.
UAUGGCCAUAUCAUGUUCAAACACAGAUUCUCAUAUAAACACUGAAAUUAAGUAAUGUCGAGCCUGGUCAGUACUUAGAUGGUUGACCACUUGGAAAUACCAAGUGCUGCAAGC